RNAcentral lists this ribosomal RNA (1550 nucleotides) under Klebsiella aerogenes. RNAcentral describes it as "bacterial SSU rRNA". It matches the Rfam family "Bacterial small subunit ribosomal RNA". Lineage: Bacteria; Pseudomonadati; Pseudomonadota; Gammaproteobacteria; Enterobacterales; Enterobacteriaceae. The record is from RNAcentral.
AAAUUGAAGAGUUUGAUCAUGGCUCAGAUUGAACGCUGGCGGCAGGCCUAACACAUGCAAGUCGAGCGGUAACACAGAGAGCUUGCUCUCGGGUGACGAGCGGCGGACGGGUGAGUAAUGUCUGGGAAACUGCCUGAUGGAGGGGGAUAACUACUGGAAACGGUAGCUAAUACCGCAUAACGUCGCAAGACCAAAGUGGGGGACCUUCGGGCCUCAUGCCAUCAGAUGUGCCCAGAUGGGAUUAGCUAGUAGGUGGGGUAAUGGCUCACCUAGGCGACGAUCCCUAGCUGGUCUGAGAGGAUGACCAGCCACACUGGAACUGAGACACGGUCCAGACUCCUACGGGAGGCAGCAGUGGGGAAUAUUGCACAAUGGGCGCAAGCCUGAUGCAGCCAUGCCGCGUGUAUGAAGAAGGCCUUCGGGUUGUAAAGUACUUUCAGCGAGGAGGAAGGCAUUAAGGUUAAUAACCUUGGUGAUUGACGUUACUCGCAGAAGAAGCACCGGCUAACUCCGUGCCAGCAGCCGCGGUAAUACGGAGGGUGCAAGCGUUAAUCGGAAUUACUGGGCGUAAAGCGCACGCAGGCGGUCUGUCAAGUCGGAUGUGAAAUCCCCGGGCUCAACCUGGGAACUGCAUUCGAAACUGGCAGGCUAGAGUCUUGUAGAGGGGGGUAGAAUUCCAGGUGUAGCGGUGAAAUGCGUAGAGAUCUGGAGGAAUACCGGUGGCGAAGGCGGCCCCCUGGACAAAGACUGACGCUCAGGUGCGAAAGCGUGGGGAGCAAACAGGAUUAGAUACCCUGGUAGUCCACGCCGUAAACGAUGUCGACUUGGAGGUUGUGCCCUUGAGGCGUGGCUUCCGGAGCUAACGCGUUAAGUCGACCGCCUGGGGAGUACGGCCGCAAGGUUAAAACUCAAAUGAAUUGACGGGGGCCCGCACAAGCGGUGGAGCAUGUGGUUUAAUUCGAUGCAACGCGAAGAACCUUACCUACUCUUGACAUCCAGAGAACUUAGCAGAGAUGCUUUGGUGCCUUCGGGAACUCUGAGACAGGUGCUGCAUGGCUGUCGUCAGCUCGUGUUGUGAAAUGUUGGGUUAAGUCCCGCAACGAGCGCAACCCUUAUCCUUUGUUGCCAGCGGUCCGGCCGGGAACUCAAAGGAGACUGCCAGUGAUAAACUGGAGGAAGGUGGGGAUGACGUCAAGUCAUCAUGGCCCUUACGAGUAGGGCUACACACGUGCUACAAUGGCAUAUACAAAGAGAAGCGACCUCGCGAGAGCAAGCGGACCUCAUAAAGUAUGUCGUAGUCCGGAUUGGAGUCUGCAACUCGACUCCAUGAAGUCGGAAUCGCUAGUAAUCGUAGAUCAGAAUGCUACGGUGAAUACGUUCCCGGGCCUUGUACACACCGCCCGUCACACCAUGGGAGUGGGUUGCAAAAGAAGUAGGUAGCUUAACCUUCGGGAGGGCGCUUACCACUUUGUGAUUCAUGACUGGGGUGAAGUCGUAACAAGGUAACCGUAGGGGAACCUGCGGUUGGAUCACCUCCUUACCUUAAAGAA